GGGAGAUGCAAGAUGGGAGACGGCAGGCAAGAACCGAUCAGACGGCCAGCCGGAUAGGAAAGCAGAUGGCUUGAUUUCUUCACGCUGUUUCGAAACAAUAGAUCGCUUCAUGGUGAAAUAAUAAUAAGGUGUUGUCACUUAGGGGGUGGUUGUUGUAGUUUUGGCAAUUUCGGCAUACCAGCGUUACAAUAAUGCCUACUCUAUUUAUUCCAAUUUCCUUUCUGGGCAAAAUAGAACAAAAAAUGUAGCAGACAACAAUCUUGUGAAAAAAGUAAGCGUAGGUAUCACUAUUUCUUUGAGUCUCCUUUUCUCUGACUUUUCGUUUCAAAUUUAUUGGAAAAUCUGAGCGAUAGUUUGCAAUAAUUGUGAUUUUGUAAGUAAAUUUUUGCUAAAAUAUAUACAUAUAUAUGUGCAUAUUGAUGAAAUUUGUUUGUUUGUAUAUUUCUUCAAGUUGUUGUUUAUAUAUUUCUUCAAGUAGGUUGAGCUAUUAUCCCGCAAAAAGCAGCGAUUUAUUCAAGAUAAUUCCAGGUUUUUAGAACAGCACCUUUUAAGUUUUAGAGCUGGCUACAGUUGUUUAUUGGGGCAGUGUCUCAUCAGCGGCGCUACCAACAGCGGUGUUAUAAGCAAGUUCCAGAUUUUUGGAGUAGUGCACACCAGCAGCAUCAUCACCUUCUACAACUAGGGAUUUUUCAAUUGCGUUUCAGGUAAGAAUUUAGCAAUUGCCAAUGAAUCAAAUUGGUAACUUAUUUUUUUAUUUGUUUUUGGCUUACACCAUCUUGUAAUGAUAUAAUUAUUAAUACACCAUGGCUCACACUAAUCACGGAUUCGGUACUUAUCUCCAAGCGUUUCCGCUCGGAUGACUAUGAUGAGGGACUUCGGUCUAGCCACUUAAACGUAUAAUUAUUUAAUAAUAUAACAGAUAGAAUUUAGAUGUGUAAGUUUUAAAUGGUAACGAAAAUAUAGUUUGUAAUAAAAUUCCCGUCAAAGUUAAGUUAUUUAAAAACUUAGUACGCAUAUAUACUUCAGAACUUAAGGAAAAAAAUACAAAUAAAAUUCCAUACUUGAUAUGUUAUUUUUAUUAGAAGUUAAAUAUAA
Long non-coding RNA from Rhagoletis pomonella (apple maggot), 1095 nucleotides. RefSeq lists it as uncharacterized. The transcript has 3 exons. NCBI's taxonomy places the organism in Eukaryota, Metazoa, Arthropoda, Insecta, Diptera, Tephritidae. The record is from RefSeq and is a predicted model, not a curated record.